Molecule: ribosomal RNA, 274 nt
Filed under: uncultured bacterium
Lineage: Bacteria
Description: partial 16S ribosomal RNA
Rfam family: Bacterial small subunit ribosomal RNA
Source: RNAcentral
AUACGGAGGGUGCAAGCGUUGUUCGGAAUCACUGGGCGUAAAGGGCGCGCAGGCGGUUUGGUAAGUCAGAUGUGAAAGCCCACGGCUCAACCGUGGAAGUACAUUUGAAACUGUCAGACUUGAGUACUAGAGGGGAAAGUGGAAUUCCCGGUGUAGAGGUGAAAUUCGUAGAUAUCGGGAGGAAUACCGGUGGCGAAGGCGACUUUCUGGCUAGAUACUGACGCUGAGGCGCGAAAGCGUGGGGAGCAAACAGGAUUAGAAACCCUGGUAGUCC